AGCGCAGGUGGGCGCACAAGUCGAAUGUGAAAUCUAUGGGCUCAACCCAUAAAUUGCGUUCGAUACUGUGUGUCUUGAGUGGAGUAGAGGCAGGCGGAAUUCCGAGUGUAGCGGUGGGAUGCGUAGAUAUUCGGAGGAACACCAGUGGCGAAGGCGGCCUGCUGGGCUCUAACUGACACUGAGGCUCGAAAGCGUGGGGAGCAAACAGGAUUAGAUACCCUGGUAGUCCACGCUGUAAACGAUGAUUACUAGGUGUGGGAGGACUAACCCCUUCCGUGCCGCAGUUAACACAAUAAGUAAUCCACCUGGGGAGUACGACCGCAAGGUUGAA
RNAcentral lists this ribosomal RNA (331 nucleotides) under uncultured bacterium. RNAcentral's name for it is "bacterial SSU rRNA". It matches the Rfam family "Bacterial small subunit ribosomal RNA", at positions 568 to 898 of the family's 1533-position model. The record is from RNAcentral.